GAGUUUGAUCGUGGCUCAGAUUGAACGCUGGCGGCAGGCCUAACACAUGCAAGUCGGAGCGGAUGAAGGGAGCUUGCUCCUGGAUUCAGCGGCGGACGGGUGAGUAAUGCCUAGGAAUCUGCCUGGGUAGUGGGGAUAACGUCCGGAAACGGGCGCUAAUACCGCAUACGUCCUGAGGGAGAAAGUGGGGGAUCUUCGGACCUCACGCUAUCAGAUGAGCCUAGGUCGGAUUAGCUAGUUGGUGGGGUAAAGGCCUACCAAGGCGACGAUCCGUAACUGGUCUGAGAGGAUGAUCAGUCACACCGGAACUGAGACACGGUCCAGACUCCUACGGGAGGCAGCAGUGGGGAAUAUUGGACAAUGGGCGAAAGCCUGAUCCAGCCAUGCCGCGUGU
RNAcentral lists this ribosomal RNA (394 nucleotides) under uncultured microorganism. RNAcentral's name for it is "bacterial SSU rRNA". It matches the Rfam family "Bacterial small subunit ribosomal RNA", at positions 9 to 404 of the family's 1533-position model. The record is from RNAcentral.